This 440-nucleotide ribosomal RNA is filed under the name uncultured bacterium. Its description in RNAcentral is "partial 16S ribosomal RNA". It matches the Rfam family "Bacterial small subunit ribosomal RNA", at positions 338 to 795 of the family's 1533-position model. The record is from RNAcentral.
CCUACGGGUGGCAGCAGUGGGGAAUAUUGCACAAUGGGGGAAACCCUGAUGCAGCGACGCCGCGUGAGGGAAGACGUAUCUCUGUAUGUAAAGCUCUAUCAGCAGGGAAGAAAAUGACGGUACCUGACUAAGAAGCCCCGGCUAACGAUGUGACAGCCGCCGCGGUAAUACGUAGGGGGCAAGCGUUAUCCGGAGUUACUGGGUGUAAAGGGAGCGUAGACGGCACUGCAAGUCCGGAGGGAAAGCCCAUGGCUUAACCCUGGUACUGCUGUUGAAACUGUGGAGCUUGAGUGCGGGAGAGGUAAGUGGAAUGCCUGGUGUAGCGGUGAAAUGCGUAGAUAUUAGGAGGAACACCAGUGGCGAAGGCGGCUUACUGGACUGUAACUGACGUUGAGGCUCGAAAGCGUGGGGAGCAAACAGGAUUAGAUACCCCAGUAGUC